Molecule: non-coding RNA, 1025 nt
Organism: Arachis ipaensis
Lineage: Eukaryota; Viridiplantae; Streptophyta; Magnoliopsida; Fabales; Fabaceae
Source: RefSeq, a predicted model, not a curated record
GAAUAUGAUACUAGGAGUGGUAAAAGAAAAACACAAGGUGAAUUAUGACUUAGUGAGUUGGGAAGUUGGGAUAGUGUGGUGACUAGACAGCGAGGAGUUAUAUUACACAUCGAACCACAAACACUCCGAAGUGUCCUCAUCACGUUUUUCCUUCAAAAUUUCACUCCGCAACUUGCUGAAAGCGGAAAGCCUGAUAACUCAAACUCAAAUGCAUCUUCGGUGUUUUCUCACUAACCAAACUCAUUAUCUUCCUAUGCUAUCAGCCUUAACCGCUAUUUACAUACCCAGGAAACUAGCAUCUCUCUUCUCUGUGAGUUCCACAAUAACGGUUGAGUAUACGUGUAAAGCAUUGAUGCUAAGGUAACUGAAAAGUACAUAAGAAUUCAUUCAAAAGUUACAGUUACUAGUUGAAUACUCCUGUUAACCACGAAAGGAAUAAGGUAAUUGGGGAGGAUAAUUUGUUAUUUAUAGUUUUAUACUAACUUUGAUCUUUACACCAUUUUUGAACCCCAAAAAUCUUUCUCAGUUCUCACUCACUUGUUCCUCUUUUACCUGUUUUCUCACCUUUCUGUUUGUAUGGUAGAUGGAACAAAAAAAGGGCACUAUAGCAAGAUUGAUGAAAAAACAACUCAUUUGAUUGCAGGGUUACUAUGUAUCCUUAUUUUCUGUUGCCCUCGGCAAAGAUAAGGUGCAAAGUAUAUGAACUUCACUCUUCACUUUAUUUAUUGGUUGUUUUGAAAUUCUUCGCACUUAUGCAUGUCACACGUUUUCGUUAUCAAAUUAACCUGUAUCAAGGGGUAGCCUGAUUCAUCGGUGUAGAAAGCUGUUUUGAUGCGAAUUAGAUUAUACUUUUUGAAACAACAAAAGCCGUCAUAUAGAACAUCCAAGAAGAUGGACAGAUAUUGUCCCAAUCCCAAAAAAAGCACCAAUGAGUUCCAAACAUUAACCUUGUUUCUACAAAACAUCAUGUUUUAAACUGCCACUUCUCUAUGAAGAGUGUCCAACAGUUUUUCUUCACCAUACAU